GAGAAACUGUGCCUACGUAACCUGAUCGAGGUCACCUGGUAAAUAAAAGGUUUGGAGACGCCGGCUGGCGCCCGGCCGGCCCUAAACGAGCGGGUGACAAAGCCCCAUACGCUCGAGGACCAGGACGCGGUGCCGCCGCUGCCUUUCGGGCCCGUCCCCCGGGGGGGACGACGACCCAACACACAAGCCGGGCUUGAAGGGCAGCAAUGACGCUCGGACAGGCAUGCCCCCCGGAAUGCCAGGGGGCGCAAUGUGCGUUCAAAGACUCGAUGAUUCACUGAAUUCUGCAAUUCACAUUACUUAUCGCAGUUCGCUGCGUUCUUCAUCGAUGCCGGAACCAAGAGAUCCAUUGUUGAAAGUUUUAAUUAGGUUUGCUUGUAUCAAGCUCAGACGACACGCUAAAAACAAGAAGUUCGGUGUGGUCCCCGGCGGCUUACGCCCCCCGGGAAGGGGGCGCGCACCGCCGAAGCAACGUUGGUCAGGUAUUCACGGGUGGGAGGUUAGGCCUGCCUGUGGGGCGAGGCCUGCACUCGGUAAUGAUCCUUCCGCAGGUUCACCUAC
Molecule: unclassified non-coding RNA, 561 nt
Filed under: Aspergillus puniceus
Lineage: Eukaryota; Fungi; Ascomycota; Eurotiomycetes; Eurotiales; Aspergillaceae
Description: sequence contains 18S rRNA gene, ITS1, 5.8S rRNA gene, ITS2 and 28S rRNA gene
Source: RNAcentral